AUUGAACGCUGGCGGAAUGCUUUACACAUGCAAGUCGAACGGCAGCACGGGGGCAACCCUGGUGGCGAGUGGCGAACGGGUGAGUAAUACAUCGGAACGUGCCCGGUCGUGGGGGAUAACGUAGCGAAAGUUACGCUAAUACCGCAUACGAUCUGAGGAUGAAAGCGGGGGACCUUCGGGCCUCGCGCGAUCGGAGCGGCCGAUGUCAGAUUAGGUAGUUGGUGGGGUAAAGGCCUACCAAGCCGACGAUCUGUAGCUGGUCUGAGAGGACGACCAGCCACGCUGGGACUGAGACACGGCCCAGACUCCUACGGGAGGCAGCAGUGGGGAAUUUUGGACAAUGGGCGCAAGCCUGAUCCAGCCAUUCCGCGUGCAGGACGAAGGCCUUCGGGUUGUAAACUGCUUUUGUAUGGAACGAAAAGGCUCUGGCUAAUACCUGGGGCUCAUGACGGUACCGUAAGAAUAAGCACCGGCUACCUACGUG
RNAcentral lists this ribosomal RNA (484 nucleotides) under uncultured bacterium. RNAcentral describes it as "partial 16S ribosomal RNA". It matches the Rfam family "Bacterial small subunit ribosomal RNA", at positions 30 to 507 of the family's 1533-position model. The record is from RNAcentral.